RNAcentral lists this ribosomal RNA (449 nucleotides) under uncultured bacterium. RNAcentral's name for it is "partial 16S ribosomal RNA". It matches the Rfam family "Bacterial small subunit ribosomal RNA", at positions 29 to 523 of the family's 1533-position model. The record is from RNAcentral.
AACGAACGCUGGCGGCAGGCUUAACACAUGCAAGUCGAACGCAUCCUUCGGGGUGAGUGGCAGACGGGUGAGUAACGCGUGGGAACGUGCCCUUCAGUUCGGAAUAACCCAGGGAAACUUGGGCUAAUACCGGAUACGUGCGAGAGCAGAAAGAUUUAUCGCUGAAGGAUCGGCCCGCGUCUGAUUAGCUAGUUGGUGGGGUAAUGGCCCACCAAGGCGACGAUCAGUAGCUGGUCUGAGAGGAUGAUCAGCCACAUUGGGACUGAGACACGGCCCAAACUCCUACGGGAGGCAGCAGUGGGGAAUAUUGGACAAUGGGCGCAAGCCUGAGCCAGCCAGGCCGCGUGAGUGAUGACGGCCUUAGGGUUGUAAAGCUCUUUCGUCCGGGACGAUAAUGACGGUACCGGAAGAAGAAGCCCCGGCUAACUUCGUGCCAGCCGCCGCCGUAA